This 465-nucleotide ribosomal RNA is filed under the name Vreelandella stevensii. RNAcentral's name for it is "partial 16S ribosomal RNA". It matches the Rfam family "Bacterial small subunit ribosomal RNA", at positions 338 to 795 of the family's 1533-position model. The record is from RNAcentral. Lineage: Bacteria; Pseudomonadati; Pseudomonadota; Gammaproteobacteria; Oceanospirillales; Halomonadaceae.
CCUACGGGAGACAGCAGUGGGGAAUAUUGGACAAUGGGGGGAACCCUGAUCCAGCCAUGCCGCGUGUGUGAAGAAGGCCCUCGGGUUGUAAAGCACUUUCAGUGAGGAAGAACGCCUGGUGGUUAAUACCCAUCAGGAAAGACAUCACUCACAGAAGAAGCACCGGCUAACUCCGUGCCAGCAGCCGCGGUAAUACGGAGGGUGCGAGCGUUAAUCGGAAUUACUGGGCGUAAAGCGCGCGUAGGUGGCUUGAUAAGCCGGUUGUGAAAGCCCCGGGCUCAACCUGGGAACGGCAUCCGGAACUGUCAAGCUAGAGUGCAGGAGAGGAAGGUAGAAUUCCCGGUGUAGCGGUGAAAUGCGUAGAGAUCGGGAGGAAUACCAGUGGCGAAGGCGGCCUUCUGGACUGACACUGACACUGAGGUGCGAAAGCGUGGGUAGCAAACAGGAUUAGAUACCCUUGUAGUC